UAGGGAAUCUUCCGCAAUGGGCGAAAGCCUGACGGAGCAACGCCGCGUGAGUGAUGAAGGUCUUCGGAUCGUAAAACUCUGUUAUUAGGGAAGAACAAAUGUGUAGUAACUAUGCACGUCUUGACGGUACCUAAUCAGAAAGCCACGGCUAACUACGUGCCAGCAGCCGCGGUAAUACGUAGGUGGCAAGCGUUAUCCGGAAUUAUUGGGCGUAAAGCGCGCGUAGGCGGUUUUUUAAGUCUGAUGUGAAAGCCCACGGCUCAACCGUGGAGGGUCAUUGGAAACUGGAAAACUUGAGUGCAGAAGAGGAAAGUGGAAUUCCAUGUGUAGCGGUGAAAUGCGCAGAGAUAUGGAGGAACACCAGUGGCGAAGGCGACUUUCUGGUCUGUAACUGACGCUGAUGUGCGAAAGCGUGGGGAUCAAACAGG
This 428-nucleotide ribosomal RNA is filed under the name Actinomycetes bacterium. Its description in RNAcentral is "Actinobacteria bacterium partial 16S ribosomal RNA". It matches the Rfam family "Bacterial small subunit ribosomal RNA", at positions 355 to 776 of the family's 1533-position model. The record is from RNAcentral. Lineage: Bacteria; Bacillati; Actinomycetota; Actinomycetes.